Molecule: ribosomal RNA, 654 nt
Filed under: uncultured archaeon
Lineage: Archaea
Description: bacterial SSU rRNA
Rfam family: Archaeal small subunit ribosomal RNA
Source: RNAcentral
GCCUAAAGCGUCCGUAGCCGGCUCUGUAAGUUUUCGGUUAAAUCCAUAUGCUCAACAUAUGGGCCGCCGGGAAUACUGCAUAGCUAGGGAGUGGGAGAGGUAGACGGUACUCCGUAGGAAGGGGUAAAAUCCUUUGAUCUAUGGAUGACCACCUGUGGCGAAGGCGGUCUACCAGAACACGUUCGACGGUGAGGGAUGAAAGCUGGGGGAACAAACCGGAUUAGAUACCCGGGUAGUCCCAGCUGUAAACUAUGCAAACUCAGUGAUGCAUUGGCUUGUGGCCAGUGCAGUGCCGCAGAGAAGUCGUUAAGUUUGCCGCCUGGGAAGUACGUACGCAAGUAUGAAACUUAAAGGAAUUGGCGGGGGAGCACCACAAGGGGUGAAGCCUGCGGUUUAAUUGGAGUCAACGCCAGAAAUCUUACCCGGAGAGACAGCAGGAUGAAGGUCAAGCUGAAGACUUUACCAGACAAGCUGAGAAGUGGUGCAUGGCCGUCGCCAGCUCGUGCCGUGAGGUGUCCUGUUAAGUCAGGUAACGAGCGAGAUCCUUGCCUCUAGUUGCCACCAUUACUCUCAGGAGUAGUGGGGCGAAUUAGCGGGACUGCCGUAGUUAAUACGGAGGAAGGAGAGGGCCACGGCAGGUCAGUAUGCCCCGAA